GUUAGGCAUAGUGGUGCACGCCUGAGCUCCAGCUACUUGGGAGACUGAGGCAGGAGAACUGUGUAAGCACAGGAGUUCGAGGCCAGCCUGGGCAACACAGCAAGACCCUGUCUUGA
RNAcentral lists this small RNA (116 nucleotides) under Marmota monax (woodchuck). Lineage: Eukaryota; Metazoa; Chordata; Mammalia; Rodentia; Sciuridae. The record is from RNAcentral.